UGGGGAAUUUUGGACAAUGGGCGAAAGCCUGAUCCAGCAAUGCCGCGUGUGUGAAGAAGGCCUUCGGGUUGUAAAGCACUUUUGUCCGGAAAGAAAUCCUUGGCUCUAAUACAGUCGGGGGAUGACGGUACCGGAAGAAUAAGCACCGGCUAACUACGUGCCAGCAGCCGCGGUAAUACGUAGGGUGCAAGCGUUAAUCGGAAUUACUGGGCGUAAAGCGUGCGCAGGCGGUUUGCUAAGACCGAUGUGAAAUCCCCGGGCUCAACCUGGGAACUGCAUUGGUGACUGGCAGGCUAGAGUAUGGCAGAGGGGGGUAGAAUUCCACGUGUAGCAGUGAAAUGCGUAGAGAUGUGGAGGAAUACCGAUGGCGAAGGCAGCCCCCGGGCCAAUACUGACGCUCAUGCACGAAAGCGUGGGGAGCAAACAGGAUUAGAUACCCUGGUAGUCCACGCCCAUAAACGAUGUCAACUAGUUGUUGGGGAUUCUUUCCUAGUAACGUAGCAACGCGUGAAGUUGACCGCCUGGGGAGUACGGUCGCAAGAUUAAAACUU
Molecule: ribosomal RNA, 551 nt
Filed under: uncultured bacterium
Lineage: Bacteria
Description: partial 16S ribosomal RNA
Rfam family: Bacterial small subunit ribosomal RNA
Source: RNAcentral